RNAcentral lists this transfer RNA (69 nucleotides) under Rattus norvegicus (Norway rat). It matches the Rfam family "tRNA". From Rfam's summary of the family: Transfer RNA (tRNA) molecules are approximately 80 nucleotides in length. Their secondary structure includes four short double-helical elements and three loops (D, anti-codon, and T loops). Further hydrogen bonds mediate the characteristic L-shaped molecular structure. tRNAs have two regions of fundamental functional importance: the anti-codon, which is responsible for specific mRNA codon recognition, and the 3' end, to which the tRNAs corresponding amino acid is attached (by aminoacyl-tRNA synthetases). tRNAs cope with the degeneracy of the genetic code in two manners: having more than one tRNA (with a specific anti-codon) for a particular amino acid; and 'wobble' base-pairing, i.e. permitting non-standard base-pairing at the 3rd anti-codon position. The record is from Rfam by way of RNAcentral. Lineage: Eukaryota; Metazoa; Chordata; Mammalia; Rodentia; Muridae.
GGGGAUUUAGCUCAGUGGUAGAGCGCUUGCCUAGCAAGCACAAGACCCUGGGUCCGGUCCCCAGCUCCG